Molecule: transfer RNA, 71 nt
Filed under: Porphyra purpurea
Lineage: Eukaryota; Rhodophyta; Bangiophyceae; Bangiales; Bangiaceae
Description: tRNA-Ala
Rfam family: tRNA
About the family: Transfer RNA (tRNA) molecules are approximately 80 nucleotides in length.
Source: RNAcentral
GGGGCUAUAGCUCAGUUGGUAGAGCAUCUCAAUGGCAUUGAGAGGGCCAGCGGUUCAAAUCGCUUAGCUCC